Long non-coding RNA from Musa acuminata AAA Group (dessert banana), 8180 nucleotides. RefSeq lists it as uncharacterized. NCBI's taxonomy places the organism in Eukaryota, Viridiplantae, Streptophyta, Magnoliopsida, Zingiberales, Musaceae. The transcript is spliced from 3 exons. The record is from RefSeq and is a predicted model, not a curated record.
UAUUGAGCUACGGCCCCUUUGUUUAUUUCUAGGGAAACUUUAUUGCACAUCUCCAAGUAUAUUUAUUCUGCUCCCUGACUUCGCCCCCGAGAGUGCGAGAGCGAGCGUUGCCCUAACUUGGAGCGACGAUAGGAUAUCAGGUAAUUCACCAACUUAUUGCAGAAGGAGGCAACAAGCUUGAGGUAGUAGCUGCAUAAUCUGCAAGAAGUUCUGUGGGUGAAGUGAGCAUACCUAUGAGUUUCUUGCAAUUUAUGCAAUUGCUGCCUCAAGCUUGUUGCCUCCCUUUGCCAAAACUGUAAGUACAAAGCCCAGGUUUAGCCACACUAGAUAUUUCUUGGUAUUGCUAGAUUUAUAUUUUCACAGUUAACUAGGCUUCGAAAAUAAUCAUCCUAUAAGGUGAAGUGGUGAACUAUAAUCUGAAUUCUGAAAUUCAAUUGUGAGGUAUGGCAUCAAACACUGAAGAAUCUAUUUGUUAAAGCUCCUAAAAACAUGUUAAGUUAUUUCAGAUUCCUAUAAUAAUAUGAUUUUGUUUUUCUAAUCAGUUUGUUGUCUUAUGUCAAUGUUUUGGACCUUUGAUUGUGAUUCAAUUGUUGCCACUUUUUGGUGGUUUGUUUAUCAUGUAAAAUUAACCACCAAUCUGGAUAUGCAGCAAACUUGGAUUUUUUCUGAUAGCUAAUAAGUGGAGUAAUCUCGAUUUAGGAGUAUGAUCAUGACAUUUGAAAAUGUUAUAUGGCUUGAGUGGUAGACAUGUAGUAUAACUUGGAUAUUCAUUUGACUCAGAAGAAGGUAGAAACUUUGAGAGAUAAAUAAUUUCUAUACAUGGAACAAAUACAAAUAUGAUCUGAAGUAGCAGUUACAAACAAGUAAAAGAGCUCAAGUUGCAAUCUAUACAUUACUAAAACCUAGAGAUUCUUUGGAGAAGCCUUAGGUUCUCUUCAUUGAUUCGCAGUUCCAAACCAACUUAGCUUGGCUCAUUUUUCCUUUACGAGAUCUUGGCAAGGAUUCUGGUGUUUUUGUGAUUAACCAUACGAACUGUCUUCUUCUCGACUUUCCUUUCCUAUCUAAUAUAAUAAUGGUAGAUAUGGCAUCAUGUUUUUCGUCUCGGAUCAUACAAAUAAAUGAUUGCUCAAUCUAUUGUCAACCUCUUUGGACAACAAAAACAUAGGAUCUUUGGUCACCAUUAGUGCUGCUGUUUGUUUUCACAAAUUUGGACCUCACAGUUGGAACCAAGGUAUACAGUUUCGAAUAAUACCGCCCAUACCGAACGAUACGUAUCGGUCCGUCAGUUGAUCGGUAUACGAAUCGCCCAUUAUCGAACGGAAUAUAUAUAUAUAUAUAUAUAUAUAUAUAUAUAUAUAUAUAUAUAUAUAUAUUUAAUGUAUAAAUAUUUUUAUAAAAAGCGACGUCGCCCCGUGUGGGAGAAGGAAAAUGCGACGUCGCCUUUUAUAAAUAAAUAAAUAAAUAAAUAAAUAUAUAUAUAUAUAUAUAUAUACACAUACCGAACGGUAUACCGCUCAGUAUAUAGUAUCAUACCGAGCGAAUGUCGAAACUCUGGUACGGUACGAUAUUUCAAUCCUUGGUUGGAACCAUGGAGCAAAGUCUUGCUAUCCUCACAAUUCACUAUCAUCAUGUUUUUCAUCCUGGGUGGUAUGAGUAAAUGAUUGCUCAAUCUAUUGUCAGCAAAAACAUAGGAUCUUUGGUCACCAUUAUUGCAUCUGUUCGCCAUUGUCAUUUUGGAUCUCACAAUUAGAACUUGGGGAGAAGUCUACCAUCCUUUUUUUUCCUUCUGAUCUCUUAGUCAUCAAUGAUGUCUGAUGAGUCAACUGAUUGCAAUGUGCCUCUAGCUUUGCUGCGCCUUGUAUAUGAUUAAAACUAGUUUCCAAUAGUACAUAGAUGAUUAUAACUAGCUUCCAAUAGCAUGACCUAUGGAAGAGAUUUUUGAGGCUUAACCAUGCCUUACAAUUCGAGUUCAGAUAUUCUACUAUUGUUCACGUAUUGGGCCAUCUCGUCUUAUUGGUUCUCUCUAUAAAUUGUUCAGAAAUGAGCUUUGAUGGGUGUGGUCAAUCUGCCAUCUCAUCAAAUAAUAAUCUGGUUUCUCAGCUCUACACAUUCAAUGCAUCAAAGGGUAUAAGUCUAGGGUUCCAAUUUCGCGUACGGUAUGUGCCGAGUUUCAGAAAUAAAAAAAAACUUAAAAAAGACUGCAUAGUAAAAAAAAGUACUGGUCCUGUACCAUAUGGUAUGUGUGGGUACAAGUUGGGUAUGGGGAUAAUGCUCGAUUUACCUCUGUGUGUCAAUAAUCAAUUAGACUGGUAUUCACCACUUGUAUCGAACCGUACUGUAUUGGGUGGAUAUUGGAAACUUUGAUAUAAAUCAUUGGUGACAAACUAUGAGUCAAAUGGUUUUUAUUUGGCCUCGUCGUUGUCCUAUCCUUGGUUAUAUGAUGCAGCCAUUUAUGCAUGUAAUAGUGCCCAAAAUCUUUCUUUUCCAAGUGUCAAUAUAAAAGGUGAUUGCAAUAUGUAUGAAGUAGAAAGUGGUUAAGUAUACUCGCAACCAUUGGAUGACGUAGUUUGUGAUAGGAAUUAACGGACAAUUUUCUUUGAGGUGCAGAUCAUGUGAAUUCAUUACUCAUCUACACAAUUACAAUUAUAAAACAUAUUAUAGGAACACAUUUUGUUUAGUAUUGUGUGAAAUGUCAUGUUGUUAUGGGAUCCAUGUCAUAUAAAUAUGAAAUUGUGUUGAAUUCUUAUUGAUAUUGUUGUAGGCUAAUCAAAAUAGACGCCCCUAAAGGUAAAAAAUAGGGUAAGUCAAUUGAUACUAUCUCUGUGAGAUAAAAAUUAACAUGAUCAGAUACUUCACCUCACUAAUAGUAGCUGUUGCACUUUCUAUAUUUUGUUCUAAGGUUCUAUCUGAUGAUGACCCUGCAAAGAGUGAACAAGUCACCAAGACAGGGUCAUAUCAAUUUUGGUAUGUUAAAUUUAGGUAGUAAGCUACAAUAGGCCACUUUUCUUUUGCCAGACAAUAGGCCACUUUGACCCCCCAAAAAAAAAAAAACAAAAAAGAGACAAUAAGCCACCAUUUGAUAUUGAAAAUGUUAUAAUUUUAUGGAUAAAGAGAUUAAAACAAUUAAGAUCGCUUGAAAUUUGAUUAUCCCAUCUCCAAAAAUGAUAUGAAGGUAAAGAUUAUUUCAUUUGUUGGAAAAGCCACUUGAAUCUUUCUUUGCUUGAUCAAAUUUAGUGACCCUCGUUCAUAGGAUCUCCCUUCUAUGAAUCUUUUCGUUGAGGCAUGCACUCGUUGAUGGUUGUUGAUAAAACAAAUUAUUUCUUGUGCCUUGUCCAUUGUUUUCUUCACGUGGGAUGUCAUCAAUGUCGAUCAUAAGGUCGAUAUGAUAUAUGGUACAUGGCCUAAAUUGAUUUAGAUGUGUAUUUAUCAAUUCAUCGAUUUCUUAAUUGGUGCCAUUAUCCAUUGCCACCUGGAGUAUUUAGUGUGAUUUCCAAUAUCAUCUACAAUAGUCUCUGAUGGGUCAAUGAUGUGAUUAAUCAAUGGACUUAUGGUACACGACUUCCUAUCAUGGCUAGGAAGUUGAUGAUUAUUACCCUAGUGGGUUUUGAUUAGCUACCACAUGUAAGAAUCAUACCAUAGAGAUCUUGUUGCAUCUUGAAGUAACCUUGACCAUGACUCGGUUUGAAUCGAUCUGGAACCGGAACCGAACUGGCCCAACAGUUCAUUGGCUCCAAAUGGAGUCGAAAUCGGUACCGAGUAGUUCAGUUUCGAAUUUUGGGUUGGGAAACCGGAACCGAUGGUUCAAAAAGAAAAUAAAAAAGGCCCGAUCGAUGUUGGGCUUGAUUGAUCGUUGGGGCUCAAACGGUCGGCUCAAUGCUCCACCGCUUGGAUAGAGGGGCAAAUGACCAGUUUGUCCCUUGCAAUAGACAUAUAAUUGUUAUUUUCUAGGGGUAUUUUGGUUAUUUCGUAAUUAAAAUAUAAAAAUAUGAAAAAUAUUUAAAAAAAUUAGCGGUUCAAACCGAAACCAGCUGUUCCAGUUCUGAUUCCAGAAAACAGCCCAGUUUGGUUUGGUUCUUGGUUUUUGGAAACCAAAACUCCUCGUUUUGUAAUCAGGGUCAGGGCUAUCUUGAAGGAUUUUAUCCAUAUGCAGAAUUCACCAACUUGAUCAGCAAGAUAUCUUUCUGCAAUAUUGAUUUGGAGGCUUUGUUUAUCAAUUGUAUUUCUAGAUGGACAUUAUAGAUAUAUAAUGUGUUGGAAGAUGCAAAAGGAGGGUUGAGAAUUAAAAUUGAAUCACUAUGAGAGUGCCUGUCUAUCAUUCUUGUUCUCAUGGGUAUAUCAUUGAUCUUAGUGGUUUUGACACUGAGAAUUGAUACUAUGGGGUCAAUAUCAACCAUAUAUGGUAUUGAUGUCUUGUUUAAAGGGACCCCCUGCUAGGGAUUGGAAUGUGAUUGACCUCAUCAUAUACUGUUCUUGAAUGUGGAGCACCACCAGUUGUAUCAUCAUCACUAGCACUCCCCGUAUUGGUUAUCCUGAUAAACUGAUGGGCACCAUAUUUAAGGUCCAAUAAUGUAGUUGCUACCAUUGCCACUGUUAUGCUCAUUGGAAUGGUCGCAAAGUAUGUCUGUGCCUCUUCGUCUGCUCAUACAUUUAAUAGUGCUUCAUUGAUUACAAAUGUUGACAGCAAUCUCAGGGUCAUUAACAACAUCAUCGUUGACUCAUACUGAUCAUAGGCAUGCUGCUUAGAUGCCUGCCUAUCAAGCUCCUCUGCAAAUGUUUGUUCUGCUCGAGAUUUUUUCUAUUCCCACUCUACCUCGAAAGUCUUUCUGAUUUCUUAAGGGAUUGGUGUGCGUUUGGCCAUGUCAAGAUGUCCAUCAGGCAAAUGUUACUUCAGCCUUCUUAUUCCUCGACCAUGAGCAACAAAGUCAUAGUAGUUCAUACCAAAUGUUAAUUCUUGUGGUGUGCACUAAGUGAUCAAUGUGUUGCCAUGUUAGAUCAGUAUUUUACUAAACCUUUUCUGACACAUUCCUAUAUACUACAUGAACAACAAAUUUAGCAUACACUUGGAUUGUUGUGGGUGCAGGCCAGAUCUGCCUCAAUUUUGGUCAUCUACGAGGAGAUAAACCAGAUCCACACAAGUCUAGCAUCAAUUUGUAUAUAUAUAGGUCGGUCCUGAUGGAAGUAGCCUAGAUCUGUAUGUAUCUAGAUCGAAUUUGCAUGAACUUAGGUCAAACAUGAAAAUCUAGCAUAGUCUGACACUGAUGUAGACCAGAUCCUAUGUAUGUUCAAGUAAUCUAUGUUGGAAAAAUGUUAAUUAUGUGUAGAUCAAGCUUCAAUUGAAUGAAGAAAGCAUCUUCAAGCAAAACAUGGUAAGAUUACGUGUAGAUGAAUAAAAAUUUAAGUAAAAAUUUGAUUCAAAAGAAAAAUAUGCAAUGAAAUUAUAGAAAUAUCUUCAAAUUUACCUUGAUUUGAGAACAAUGCAAACUCUGCCUUGAAAUCCAAUCUUUGGAUGAUACACCAAGAGAAUGAAUAAAUUAAAGGAAAAGGGAUCUUUUGGUUUGAUAAUAAAAUUACGUAUGAUACACCAAAACAUAGUAAGAUCACGUAUAGAUGAAUAAAAUUUAACUAAAAAAUUGAUUCAAAAGAAAAAUAAGCAAAGAAAUUAUAGAAAUAUCUUCAAAUUUACCUUGAUUCAAGAACAAUGCCAACUCUGGCUUGAAAUCCAAUCUUUUGAUGAUAAAUCAAGAGAAUGAAUAAAUGAAAGGAAAAGGGUUCUUUUGGUUUGAUAAAAACGAGGGGGGCUGCUAGUUGAAGAAAUAGAAUUGGCAUAGUUUGGGAACAACCUACCACUUGGUACAACUAGUCUGCUGGUUCAAAUCAGUGAAAUGCCAGGCAUGAACCAGUAUUGAUCGGUUUCCAUGGAGCCAUAUAUUGGUUCAUGGUUACACCUGUCCAUUCAAAUCUAAAUUACGAGUUUGAUUGGUUUUUAACAUUGUAUGAGAAUUGCUAUUAGCAUUAGUUGCAAAUGGAAUGUUAGCAAUUGUCUGAUCACUAUAAUUUCACAUUAUGACUCAAUUAUGGGUUUUUUGUCUUUACAAUUGUUGCAUUCAUAAUUUUCAGGCUGAAUGUUCAUGAUGUAUUUUGUUUACUUCUAAUUUUCAUUGAUGAAAGCAUGCUUUUGAAAUGCAAAGCACUGUACGGGUAGUUAUGUCAUCAUAUAUUGCAUAUGCAGUAUGCUGGUGUAUAUGCAAGGACACCUAUGAGUUAUUGUUUAAAAUAUACAUAACUUUUCAAUAUCCAAAAAAAGAAAAAAAUCAGUUAAAUAUUUUCACGCAAUCUAGAUACACUUAAUGGUAAAUGACAUUAUAUCUUAACACAUUGGAGGAUCGUAAGGUAAGUCAAUACACAAAACUACAAUAAAUAUGUACAAAUUUUCUAAAGAAUUUAUUGCUCGUGACAGAAAUUUUUAUUUGAGGGAUAAAUAUAAGCUUAUUUUAGAUCAUUAAACAUUAUGCAGUUUUUCAAGCCUAUUGAAUUAAGGUUUUAAGGAAAGGAUGAUAAUGUUUUAUGGAUUAAAUAAGGGCUUAAGUUGUCUAUUGCUUGCUAAAUAAUUUAUGAAUACAAUGUUUUAUUUUGUUAUUGUUCAUACAAUUAACAAUCACCUUUUCAUCUAUAUCUUUAUACAUUUAAUUUUACUGAACUCCUUUUUUUUUAUCUGUAGCUUUACAAUCUAAUAAAUUUCUUUUUCCCCAUCCUUAGAACUUAGCUUGCUGCAAAAACUUUCAUGUUUUUUAUUUUUCCAACCAUAUAGUUUUUCUCUUUUUAGCUACUAUAUGUCUUCUAAAAUUCUUCUCGUUUCUAAUGAUUUUACCAAUCUUUAAUGCAUGUUUUGUAUUAAUGGCCUUCUGAAUUUUUUUAAUCCCACCAACGCUUUUCCUGGAUCAUCAUUUCUACCUUUAGAUUCUUCAACAAUCUCCUUUACCACACUCUUAAUCUUAGUGGUUAUUGAAGUUACUCCCAUUUAGAUUCCGAACGUCUUCUUUCUUCAUCCUACAUUUUAAAAGCCUUGUAUUAUUAUCUUUGAAAUUCUAUUAUCUAGUUCUUACAAAACUAUUUCCUACUAUUUGCUGUUUAUUUCCUAAAGCACCAUCAAUAUAUGUUGAUUUCUCUAUAUUUCUGUUGGCACAGCUUUAUGAUCCUUUCCCUAUUUACCUCUUGUCUUCAUCUCUCUUUCUGUCAAAAUCUUCUUUGCCAUGUGGGACCGUUCAACCAUAUUGGUCUGUUGAACUGCCAUCAUGGUAUAGGUAUCUUGAAAGGAGACUAUGACUGUAAGCAAAAUGUUGUUGUGGCUGGUUCUCUCCUUCGAGGUCUUGUGAGAACAAGAAGCCAAUAUUUAUCUGUCUAAAUAUGACAAGAAACCACAUAGGCAGUGAUUUAAGACACAUAUUGAUCAAUUCAAUUGCUUAUAUGUAAGUUCUAAGGAUCAUAGAAGUCAACAUCAGCAGCAAGAAAAUGGUAGUGUUGUUUCUUUUGAAAGUUUAAUGCCAUAAAAUAUUUUCUUUUGUUUCAUUUGUUACUUUUUCCAGCAAGUCUGGAUUUUAUGAGGAGCAGGUUUGGAUUGUAUAAGUUUGGCUUUUUCAAAUUGUAAAGAGCAAUUUAUAGUUUGUCAGCAAAGCACCUAGCCUUUUGACAACACAUCUUUUACUGAGUGGAGCAGCAAGCAUUUCUGUCAAAGCUAGCCAUAGGGUCUAAAUGAGCAUUUUACUUUUGCGUUCUCUGGGAUUAGAUGCGAUCUCAUGGGCAUGAAGAUUUAAAUGUCUGUUUAGAAUGAACUGAAUGAGUCAAUGGGCACUGACCUAAAUGAAAUGGCUUUGAUGACUGAGUUGAGAGACGGACUGAAGCUGCUAUUCUGGUAUCUUUGCAAGAUGGAUUAUGAUAGCACAAUGGAGGCCGAUACCUUCUUUUGCCUAACCCUCAGUGGCCUUGCAAGAGCUUCCAGAAUGAGCUACAGAUGUUGACCACCUAUUAUAACAUACCCUUGAUUAUUAUGCAUUGCCAACUUUGUAUUUAAGUAUUGGCAACUGCUUCCCAACUGGAAUGAUGUAGCCACAGUCCCUGCACUUCAUUGUGUUCACUGUGGUUGAGAUGUGACAUAUAUGUAAUAUGGAAUGAGAUAUGCUGUC